RNAcentral lists this ribosomal RNA (253 nucleotides) under uncultured bacterium. Its description in RNAcentral is "partial 16S ribosomal RNA". It matches the Rfam family "Bacterial small subunit ribosomal RNA", at positions 524 to 776 of the family's 1533-position model. The record is from RNAcentral.
UACGGAGGGAGCUAGCGUUGUUCGGAUAUACUGGGCGUAAAGCGCACGUAGGCGGCGCCGUAAGUCAGGGGUGAAAUCCCGGAGCUCAACUCCGGAACUGCCCUUGAAACUGCAGUGCUAGAAUUCUGGAGAGGCGAGUGGAAUUCCGAGUGUAGAGGUGAAAUUCGUAGAUAUUCGGAAGAACACCAGUGGCGAAGGCGACUUACUGGACAUGUAUUGACGCUGAGGUGCGAAAGCGUGGGGAGCAAACAGG